GAUUAACGCGAAGAACCUUACCUGGUCUUGACAUCCACAGAACUUUCCAGAGAUGGAUUGGUGCCUUCGGGAACUGUGAGACAGGUGCUGCAUGGCUGUCGUCAGCUCGUGUUGUGAAAUGUUGGGUUAAGUCCCGCAACGAGCGCAACCCUUAUCCUUUGUUGCCAGCGGUCCGGCCGGGAACUCAAAGGAGACUGCCAGUGAUAAACUGGAGGAAGGUGGGGAUGACGUCAAGUCAUCAUGGCCCUUACGACCAGGGCUACACACGUGCUACAAUGGCGCAUACAAAGAGAAGCGACCUCGCGAGAGCAAGCGGACCUCAUAAAGUGCGUCGUAGUCCGGAUUGGAGUCUGCAACUCGACUCCAUGAAGUCGGAAUCGCUAGUAAUCGU
This 391-nucleotide ribosomal RNA is filed under the name uncultured Enterobacter sp. RNAcentral's name for it is "bacterial SSU rRNA". It matches the Rfam family "Bacterial small subunit ribosomal RNA", at positions 954 to 1345 of the family's 1533-position model. Lineage: Bacteria; Pseudomonadati; Pseudomonadota; Gammaproteobacteria; Enterobacterales; Enterobacteriaceae. The record is from RNAcentral.